RNAcentral lists this non-coding RNA (21 nucleotides) under Arabidopsis thaliana (thale cress). The record is from RNAcentral. Lineage: Eukaryota; Viridiplantae; Streptophyta; Magnoliopsida; Brassicales; Brassicaceae.
UGAUAAGGUGGAUCUUCAGAU